This 424-nucleotide long non-coding RNA is filed under the name Salvia miltiorrhiza (redroot sage). RNAcentral's name for it is "long non-coding RNA (SMIL_LNC008562)". The record is from RNAcentral. Lineage: Eukaryota; Viridiplantae; Streptophyta; Magnoliopsida; Lamiales; Lamiaceae.
UAUUUUUAAGAGAAUCCUAAAAUAAAUGUAAAAAAAUGAAUAAAAUAUAAUCGAAAAAUAUAAAUAAUUAAUUUUUGGAACAUAUAAUAUGUGUGGAAGCAAAUCUAAUUGGUUUUUAGGAGAAUCCCCAUAUUAAAGGAAACAAAUAAAAAAAAAAAUACAAUUUUCAAAAAAAUAAAAUAAAAUUACAGAAGAAAAAAAUAACAGAAACAAUUAAAAUCGAAUAUAAUACUAAAAAACGGAUGAGAUAAUUUUGGAAAGGAUAUUCUAAUGAAAAUAAAUCAAAAAAAUUAAUACAAUUUUCGGAAAAAAAAAUUGGCUGAAAAUAGAACCCUCAAUAAUCGAACAAAUUUAAAAGAAAACAUAGUCAAUUCAUAAAUUUUUGAAAAAAAUAAAAUAAAAUUCGAAAAACAAAUGAGAUAAA